RNAcentral lists this ribosomal RNA (799 nucleotides) under Streptomyces sp. D173. Its description in RNAcentral is "bacterial SSU rRNA". It matches the Rfam family "Bacterial small subunit ribosomal RNA", at positions 38 to 853 of the family's 1533-position model. RNAcentral also lists the same sequence under 1 other name. Lineage: Bacteria; Bacillati; Actinomycetota; Actinomycetes; Kitasatosporales; Streptomycetaceae. The record is from RNAcentral.
GGCGGCGUGCUUACACAUGCAGUCGAACGAUGAACCACUUCGGUGGGGAUUAGUGGCGAACGGGUGAGUAACACGUGGGCAAUCUGCCCUGCACUCUGGGACAAGCCCUGGAAACGGGGUCUAAUACCGGAUACUGACCCGCUUGGGCAUCCAAGCGGUUCGAAAGCUCCGGCGGUGCAGGAUGAGCCCGCGGCCUAUCAGCUUGUUGGUGAGGUAAUGGCUCACCAAGGCGACGACGGGUAGCCGGCCUGAGAGGGCGACCGGCCACACUGGGACUGAGACACGGCCCAGACUCCUACGGGAGGCAGCAGUGGGGAAUAUUGCACAAUGGGCGAAAGCCUGAUGCAGCGACGCCGCGUGAGGGAUGACGGCCUUCGGGUUGUAAACCUCUUUCAGCAGGGAAGAAGCGAAAGUGACGGUACCUGCAGAAGAAGCGCCGGCUAACUACGUGCCAGCAGCCGCGGUAAUACGUAGGGCGCGAGCGUUGUCCGGAAUUAUUGGGCGUAAAGAGCUCGUAGGCGGCUUGUCACGUCGGUUGUGAAAGCCCGGGGCUUAACCCCGGGUCUGCAGUCGAUACGGGCAGGCUAGAGUUCGGUAGGGGAGAUCGGAAUUCCUGGUGUAGCGGUGAAAUGCGCAGAUAUCAGGAGGAACACCGGUGGCGAAGGCGGAUCUCUGGGCCGAUACUGACGCUGAGGAGCGAAAGCGUGGGGAGCGAACAGGAUUAGAUACCCUGGUAGUCCACGCCGUAAACGGUGGGCACUAGGUGUGGGCGACAUUCCACGUCGUCCGUGCCGCAGCU